CUACGGGCCGCAGCAGUGAGGAAUUUUGCGCAAUGGGGGAAACCCUGACGCAGCAACGCCGCGUGAGUGAAGAAGGCCUUUGGGUCGUAAAGCUCUGUCAACAGGGAAGAAGUUACGAUUGUUUAACAGAUGAUUGUAUUGACGGUACCUGUGGAGGAAGCGCCGGCUAGCUCCGUGCCAGCAGCCGCGGUAACACGGGGGGCGCAAGCGUUAUUCGGAAUUAUUGGGCGUAAAGGGCGCGCAGGCGGUCUUGUCCGUCAGGUGUGAAAGCUCGGGGCUCAACCCCGGAAGUGCACUUGAAACAGCAAGACUUGAAUACGGGAGAGGAAAGCGGAAUUCCUGGUGUAGAGGUGAAAUUCGUAGAUAUCAGGAGGAACACCGAUGGCGAAGGCAGCUUUCUGGACCGAUAUUGACGCUGAGGCGCGAAGGCGUGGGGAGCGAACGGGAUUAGAUACCCCGGUAGUC
This 465-nucleotide ribosomal RNA is filed under the name uncultured bacterium. Its description in RNAcentral is "partial 16S ribosomal RNA". It matches the Rfam family "Bacterial small subunit ribosomal RNA", at positions 339 to 795 of the family's 1533-position model. The record is from RNAcentral.